Molecule: ribosomal RNA, 501 nt
Filed under: uncultured bacterium
Lineage: Bacteria
Description: partial 16S ribosomal RNA
Rfam family: Bacterial small subunit ribosomal RNA
Source: RNAcentral
AUUGAACGCUGGCGGCAGGCUUAACACAUGCAAGUCGAGCGGGGGAAGGUAGCUUGCUACCGGACCUAGCGGCGGACGGGUGAGUAAUGCUUAGGAAUCUGCCUAUUAGUGGGGGACAACAGCUCGAAAGGGAUGCUACUACCGCAUACGUCCUACGGGAGAAAGCAGGGGAUCUUCGGACCUUGCGCUAACAGAUGAGCCUAAGUCGGAUGAGCUAGUUGGUGGGGUAAAGGCCUACCAAGGCGACGAUCUGUAGCGGGUCUGAGAGGAUGAUCCGCCACACUGGGGCUGAGACACGGCCCAGACUCCUACGGGAGGCAGCAGUGGGGAAUAUUGGACAAUGGGGGGAACCCUGAUCCAGCCAUGCCGCGUGUGUGAAGAAGGCCUUAUGGUUGUAAAGCACUUUAAGCGAGGAGGAGGCUACUCUAGUUAAUACCUAGGGAUAGUGGACGUUACUCGCAGAAUAAGCACCGGCUAACUCUGUGCCAGCCGCCGCCGUAA